AACGAACGCUGGCGGCGUGCCUGAGACAUGCAAGUCGUGGGAGAAAGUCGGAGCAAUCCGGCUAGUAAACCGGCGCACGGGUGAGUAACACGUGGACAACCUGCCUUGGAGUUCGGGAUAACCCGUCGAAAGACGGACUAAUACCGGAUAUGACCACGGGGAGUUCGCUCUCUGAGGUAAAAGAUGGCCUCUGCUCCUGCAAGCUAUCUCUUCGAGAGGGGUCCGCGUCCAUCAGCUAGUUGGUGAGGUAACGGCUCACCAAGGCUAAGACGGGUAGCUGGUCUGAGAGGAUGGUCAGCCACACUGGGACUGAGACACGGCCCAGAGUCCUACGGGAUGCAGCAGUCAGGAAUAUUGCGCAAUGGAGGAAACUCUGACGCAGCGACGCCGCGUGGGUGAUGAAGGCCUUCGGUCGUAA
This 418-nucleotide ribosomal RNA is filed under the name uncultured bacterium. RNAcentral's name for it is "bacterial SSU rRNA". It matches the Rfam family "Bacterial small subunit ribosomal RNA", at positions 29 to 428 of the family's 1533-position model. The record is from RNAcentral.